Molecule: transfer RNA, 72 nt
Filed under: Diaphorina citri (Asian citrus psyllid)
Lineage: Eukaryota; Metazoa; Arthropoda; Insecta; Hemiptera; Psyllidae
Rfam family: tRNA
About the family: Transfer RNA (tRNA) molecules are approximately 80 nucleotides in length. Their secondary structure includes four short double-helical elements and three loops (D, anti-codon, and T loops). Further hydrogen bonds mediate the characteristic L-shaped molecular structure. tRNAs have two regions of fundamental functional importance: the anti-codon, which is responsible for specific mRNA codon recognition, and the 3' end, to which the tRNAs corresponding amino acid is attached (by aminoacyl-tRNA synthetases). tRNAs cope with the degeneracy of the genetic code in two manners: having more than one tRNA (with a specific anti-codon) for a particular amino acid; and 'wobble' base-pairing, i.e. permitting non-standard base-pairing at the 3rd anti-codon position.
Source: Rfam by way of RNAcentral
GCCUUGGUAGUGAAGUGGUCAAGACGCUCGCCUGGUAAACAGGAGGGCGUGGGUUCAAUCCCAGCCGAGGUA